GAUGAACGCUGGCGGCGUGCUUAACACAUGCAAGUCGAACGGGAUCGGCUGGAGCUUGCUCCGGCCGUGAGAGUGGCGAACGGGUGAGUAAUGCGUGACCGGCCUGCCCCAUACACCGGAAUAACUCCUGGAAACGGGUGGUAAUGCCGGAUGCUCCGACAUGACGCAUGUCGUGUCGGGAAAGAUUCAUCGGUAUGGGAUGGGGUCGCGUCCCAUCAGCUUGAUGGCGGGGUAACGGCCCACCAUGGCUUCGACGGGUAGCCGGCCUGAGAGGGCGACCGGCCACAUUGGGACUGAGAUACGGCCCAGACUCCUACGGGAGGCAGCAGUGGGGAAUAUUGCACAAUGGGCGCAAGCCUGAUGCAGCGACGCCGCGUGCGGGAUGACGGCCUUCGGGUUGUAAACCGCUUUUGACUGGGAGCAAGCCCUUCGGGGUGAGUGUACCUUUCGAAUAAGCACCGGCUAACU
Molecule: ribosomal RNA, 468 nt
Filed under: uncultured bacterium
Lineage: Bacteria
Description: bacterial SSU rRNA
Rfam family: Bacterial small subunit ribosomal RNA
Source: RNAcentral